Acanthosepion pharaonis is the source of this 112-nucleotide non-coding RNA. The record is from the annotation of a GenBank genome assembly. Lineage: Eukaryota; Metazoa; Mollusca; Cephalopoda; Sepiida; Sepiidae.
CCGGUAACAUCAGGCUGAAAUCAAUGUUCCCGUACAAUCCCCGAAGUUCAACAACAUCAAACCUGGUCAGUACCUAGAUGGGUGACCGCUUGGGAAUACCAGGUGCUGUAUG